AUGUUUUUAAACUCAGUACUUGUUCGGACUUCGAAAGGUAGUAACUGAAUAUUUAAAAAUGUUUAAGAAAUUUUAUGCGGCUUUACUUAUUAUCACUAUCUUCAGAGCUGUUACUAAAGCGCAACUACCAAAUUGCGAGCCUGUGCUUACUGUCAUAACUAGAGGCCAAAAUGUCUGCCAACGCAAUUGUGCACCAAGACAACCGGCAAAUGACUGCUAUAGAUCCAUAGGUGUUCUAACUAUUCGGUUAUGUCCCCCGCUCUGCUGUCGGGAUGCUAAUAAUCAAUGCGUUGUCGCAAUAAGAAUUGGCAAAUAAGGCCCAACUAAGUAAAAUUUUUAUUUCAAUGACAACACCAGUCAGAUGUUCAUGCGAGACCUGUAUUUUGGAUGAUAUACUAUGUUAAGCUUAAAUGUGUUGUUCUUUCAAUUUCAACCAUAGUUGGAAUGAACAAGAUCGAUGCUGAAGAUACAGUGAAAUUCAGACCACUGGAAUCCAAUUCAUUCUGAGAAGCUGUGAUAGACAUUUACGAGUAUAAUACAAAUAUGGGACUUAAUUUUUCGCAUAAAAACGGAUUAUAACUUGCCAGUUAUCUGUGAGAGCGGACACUCCUCAGCAAGUUGUGUCACAUAUCUGAUUAAGGAAUGGCUUUCAGGGAGUUUUCCUAACUUUUUAGAGGAUAUUUUUAAUUCGCCUAUAUUUUUGGAAUGUCAUCAAAUGGAAGAGAGAGCUCGGAACAUAUUUAGUACAUCGAGCCUUAAGCGUCAUUUAUCUCACAAGAGUGGCGCGAUAAGUACAAGUAUUUACUCUCACCGUCUGAUUGGGCUGCUAUCGUAGGAAACAUUAAUUAUGGAAUCACACUCGUAGUUUUGGAAAUGGAAAAAGAGCUACACAUAUCGAUGGGUGUGGCAAUAAAUUCCUGAUCUUCGCCAGGCAAAGCUGUUUCUGAGAGAUUUUAAUGCAAAACGCUUCAAUCAUUAAUCCAAUAGAGGCCACAUUAGGAAUAAACUAUAGGGUAUAGUGCAUUUAACAACUCUCAAUCCAAGAUAAUGUCGUUGGGUGAUUAAAUUUUUGAGCCGCGUAUGUCCACUCCGAACUCUGGAUCACCACUACGAAAGCCUACUUUGAAGACCUCCAGAAAACGUAUUUUUCAGAGGAGUUAAAGAAAUUGGAGUUCGGCUGGGUCAAAAAGUAACAAGCUAAUAAGAGAGUAUGUUGAGAAAUAAUAAAUCGUGCUUUUCUUUCGUAGACUAAGUUCAUACCGACCGCAGCUCAUAAUGAUAAUAAGUACCUGCAAUUGAUAAAAAUGGCGGAAACAAUGAGAAGAGCUAUGAGCUAUGAGAGACUCUAUGAAUCGUAUAAAUCUUAUGAUCAUAUAAAACCAC
This is a non-coding RNA of Bactrocera oleae (olive fruit fly), 1383 nucleotides long. Lineage: Eukaryota; Metazoa; Arthropoda; Insecta; Diptera; Tephritidae. The record is from RefSeq and is a predicted model, not a curated record.